RNAcentral lists this RNase P RNA (367 nucleotides) under Thermodesulfobacteriota bacterium. Its description in RNAcentral is "RNase P RNA component class A". It matches the Rfam family "Bacterial RNase P class A". Rfam says of the family: Ribonuclease P (RNase P) is a ubiquitous endoribonuclease, found in archaea, bacteria and eukarya as well as chloroplasts and mitochondria. Its best characterised activity is the generation of mature 5'-ends of tRNAs by cleaving the 5'-leader elements of precursor-tRNAs. Lineage: Bacteria; Pseudomonadati; Thermodesulfobacteriota. The record is from RNAcentral.
UCGUAGAGGGUGGAUGAUCGCCUGCCCGCAUUGACGGGCAGGAGGAAAGUCCGGGCUCCACAGGGCAAGGUGGUUCGUAACACGAACCGGGGGCAACCCCAGGGAAAGUGCCACAGAAAACAGACCGCCACACUCAAGUGUGGUAAGGGUGAAAAGGUGAGGUAAGAGCUCACCAGCUGCAAGGGUGACCUUGCAGGCUUGGUAAACCCCACCUGGAGCAAGACCAAAUAGGGAGACGUUCGAGGGCGGCCCGUCCGAGUCUCCGGGUAGGUUGCUUGAGGUGUCGGGCGACCGACAUCCUAGAUGAAUGAUCAUCGUUCCAGCUUGUGCUGGAAUACAGAACCCGGCUUAUAGCCCUCUCGAGGAC